RNAcentral lists this transfer RNA (140 nucleotides) under Histidinibacterium aquaticum. Its description in RNAcentral is "Histidinibacterium sp. 176SS1-4 tRNA-Thr". Lineage: Bacteria; Pseudomonadati; Pseudomonadota; Alphaproteobacteria; Rhodobacterales; Paracoccaceae. The record is from RNAcentral.
AUGGGCCAGAACGGCAGAGAAAAGCAAGAUGGGUAAGCGCUUAGGUGCGAAACAAUGCCUAACGCGCAAAAUCAACAGAUCACGCGGGCAACUGAUUUGUAAUCAGUGGGUCGGGAGUUCGAGUCUCUCUGGGGGCACCA